RNAcentral lists this ribosomal RNA (460 nucleotides) under uncultured bacterium. Its description in RNAcentral is "SSU rRNA". It matches the Rfam family "Bacterial small subunit ribosomal RNA", at positions 26 to 518 of the family's 1533-position model. The record is from RNAcentral.
AGAAUCAACGCUGGCGGCGUGCCUAACACAUGCAAGUCGCACGAGAAAGGGGAGCAAUCCCUGAGUAAAGUGGCGCACGGGUGAGUAACACGUGAAUAAUCUACCUCCGAGUGGGGAAUAACUGAGAGAAAUCUUAGCUAAUACCGCAUAACACUUACGAGUCAAAGCAGCAAUGCGCUUGGAGAGGAGUUCGCGGCCGAUUAGUUAGUUGGCGGGGUAAUGGCCCACCAAGACGAUGAUCGGUAUCCGGCCUGAGAGGGCGCACGGACACACUGGAACUGAAACACGGUCCAGACUCCUACGGGAGGCAGCAGUGGGGAAUUUUGCGCAAUGGGGGAAACCCUGACGCAGCAACGCCGCGUGGAGGAUGAAGCCCGUUGGGGUGUAAACUCCUUUCGAUCGGGAAGAUAAUGACGGUACCGAUAUAAGAACGCCCGGCUAACUUCGCGCCAGCAGCCGC